CCAGACUCCUACGGGAGGCAGCAGUGGGGGAUAUUGCACAAUGGGCGCAAGCCUGAUGCAGCGACGCCGCGUGAGCGAAGAAGUAUUUCGGUAUGUAAAGCUCUAUCAGCAGGGAAGAAAAUGACGGUACCUGACUAAGAAGCCCCGGCUAACUACGUGCCAGCAGCCGCGGUAAUACGUAGGGGGCAAGCGUUAUCCGGAUUUACUGGGUGUAAAGGGAGCGUAGACGGCGAUGCAAGCCAGAUGUGAAAGCCCGGGGCUCAACCCCGGGACUGCAUUUGGAACUGUAUAGCUAGGGUGUCGGAGAGGCAGGCGGAAUUCCUAGUGUAGCGGUGAAAUGCGUAGAUAUUAGGAGGAACACCAGUGGCGAAGGCGGCCUGCUGGACGAUGACUGACGUUGAGGCUCGAAAGCGUGGGGAGCAAACAGGAUUAGAUACCCCAGUACG
Molecule: ribosomal RNA, 446 nt
Filed under: uncultured bacterium
Lineage: Bacteria
Description: bacterial SSU rRNA
Rfam family: Bacterial small subunit ribosomal RNA
Source: RNAcentral